AUGACUCAGUUCAUAUGAUAUACUAUGUACUGUGUAUACUUGGGAUUAGUUUAAAUCACACCCUUUUAAUUCACAAGCUUAACAUUCUUACUUUUUGUCUGUCCUUAAGCAAAAUAUGUGAUGUAAUGUAUAUGCCUCAUCAGAGUUUCAUAUCCAUUUUCAAAUUAUUUUUACACAUUUUCUGCUCCACCAUGCAUAUGACCAUUAAAAAAACAAUUGUGAAAUUAAAAUUCACCAAAAUAUCAAAACAGUGCUUCAACUGCAAUGACAUCAGCAUGA
Molecule: long non-coding RNA, 279 nt
Filed under: Mytilus galloprovincialis (Mediterranean mussel)
Lineage: Eukaryota; Metazoa; Mollusca; Bivalvia; Mytilida; Mytilidae
Source: RNAcentral